This 75-nucleotide transfer RNA is filed under the name Chloroflexota bacterium. RNAcentral describes it as "Chloroflexi bacterium tRNA-Ala". It matches the Rfam family "tRNA". From Rfam's summary of the family: Transfer RNA (tRNA) molecules are approximately 80 nucleotides in length. Their secondary structure includes four short double-helical elements and three loops (D, anti-codon, and T loops). Lineage: Bacteria; Bacillati; Chloroflexota. The record is from RNAcentral.
GGGGCUGUGGCGCAGUGGGAGCGCAUCACACUGGCAGUGUGGGGGUCGCGGGUUCGAAUCCCGCCAGCUCCACCG